Molecule: ribosomal RNA, 505 nt
Filed under: uncultured bacterium
Lineage: Bacteria
Description: bacterial SSU rRNA
Rfam family: Bacterial small subunit ribosomal RNA
Source: RNAcentral
ACUGACGAGUUUGAUCAUGGCUCAGAUUGAACGCUGGCGGAAUGCUUUACACAUGCAAGUCGAACGGUAGAGGGGGCAACCCCUUGAGAGUGGCGAACGGGUGAGUAAUAUAUCGGAACGUGCCCAGUCGUGGGGGAUAACGUAGCGAAAGUUACGCUAAUACCGCAUACGAUCUAAGGAUGAAAGCGGGGGAUCGCAAGACCUCGCGCGAUUGGAGCGGCCGAUAUCAGAUUAGGUAGUUGGUGGGGUAAAGGCUCACCAAGCCAACGAUCUGUAGCUGGUCUGAGAGGACGACCAGCCACACUGGAACUGAGACACGGUCCAGACUCCUACGGGAGGCAGCAGUGGGGAAUUUUGGACAAUGGACGCAAGUCUGAUCCAGCCAUUCCGCGUGCAGGAUGAAGGCCCUCGGGUUGUAAACUGCUUUUGUACGGAACGAAAAGGUUUCUAUUAAUACUAGGAGCUCAUGACGGUACCGUAAGAAUAAGCACCGGCUAACUACGUG